Molecule: non-coding RNA, 83 nt
Organism: Blastosporella zonata
Lineage: Eukaryota; Fungi; Basidiomycota; Agaricomycetes; Agaricales; Lyophyllaceae
Source: the annotation of a GenBank genome assembly
GCCCUCUUAGCUCAGUGGUAGAGCGCAUCACUCGUAUCUGCGGGAUCAUGAUGAGGUCAGUCGUUCAAGUCGGCUAGGGGGCA